RNAcentral lists this unclassified non-coding RNA (469 nucleotides) under Hevea brasiliensis (rubber tree). The record is from RNAcentral. Lineage: Eukaryota; Viridiplantae; Streptophyta; Magnoliopsida; Malpighiales; Euphorbiaceae.
CGCCUGUAAGUGGAAUUGAUCAUAAACCCAGAAAGGAAGAUUUCACUGAUAAUUGGAGACAUGAAUCUCAAACAUCAAGAUCAAAAUGCUUAGCAUCAAGAAAAACUUUAAAAAACCCACAGAAGAAAGAUGGGCAAAAUUUGUAGAUUGAUGAUGCUUAAAACAGUCUCAAAAACACCAAUCCAAAAGCUGACAACUUUUUGAGAUUGGAAGUCAAGAAAAUAAUAGCAGGUUUCAAUCAAUAUAGAGGUUUAUAUAAAAGAUCAAGAAGUGGGUACUUGAUUUCGGAUCAAGAAAUUGAAAUCCAAGAUCAAGAUUGAGGAAAAACACAUGGAAGAUGAUGAUGGCUUAAGUUCAAAGGUAGAGCUUUAAGAAAAAAAAAAAUCAAGAAGAAGGAAAAAGAGCACAGAAAGACGCCAAAGUUUUGCCGAGAAGGAGAAAGAAAAUGGGAAGGGGGCUUACAAGUAAG